ACAAUGAAGAGUUUGAUCCUGGCUCAGGAUGAACGCUAGCUACAGGCUUAACACAUGCAAGUCGAGGGGCAUCAGGAAGAAAGCUUGCUUUCUUUGCUGGCGACCGGCGCACGGGUGAGUAACACGUAUCCAACCUGCCCUUUACUCGGGGAUAGCCUUUCGAAAGAAAGAUUAAUACCCGAUAGCAUAAUGAUUCCGCAUGGUUUCAUUAUUAAAGGAUUCCGGUAAAGGAUGGGGAUGCGUUCCAUUAGGUUGUUGGUGAGGUAACGGCCCACCAAGCCUUCGAUGGAUAGGGGUUCUGAGAGGAAGGUCCCCCACAUUGGAACUGAGACACGGUCCAAACUCCUACGGGAGGCAGCAGUGAGGAAUAUUGGUCAAUGGGCGCUAGCCUGAACCAGCCAAGUAGCGUGAAGGAUGAAGGCUCUAUGGGUCGUAAACUUCUUUUAUAUAAGAAUAAAGUGCAGUAUGUAUACUGUUUUGUAUGUAUUAUAUGAAUAAGGAUCGGCUAACUCCGUGCCAGCAGCCGCGGUAAUACGGAGGAUCCGAGCGUUAUCCGGAUUUAUUGGGUUUAAAGGGAGCGUAGGUGGACUGGUAAGUCAGUUGUGAAAGUUUGCGGCUCAACCGUAAAAUUGCAGUUGAUACUGUCAGUCUUGAGUACAGUAGAGGUGGGCGGAAUUCGUGGUGUAGCGGUGAAAUGCUUAGAUAUCACGAAGAACUCCGAUUGCGAAGGCAGCUCACUGGACUGCAACUGACACUGAUGCUCGAAAGUGUGGGUAUCAAACAGGAUUAGAUACCCUGGUAGUCCACACAGUAAACGAUGAAUACUCGCUGUUUGCGAUAUACAGUAAGCGGCCAAGCGAAAGCAUUAAGUAUUCCACCUGGGGAGUACGCCGGCAACGGUGAAACUCAAAGGAAUUGACGGGGGCCCGCACAAGCGGAGGAACAUGUGGUUUAAUUCGAUGAUACGCGAGGAACCUUACCCGGGCUUAAAUUGCAGUGGAAUGAUGUGGAAACAUGUCAGUGAGCAAUCACCGCUGUGAAGGUGCUGCAUGGUUGUCGUCAGCUCGUGCCGUGAGGUGUCGGCUUAAGUGCCAUAACGAGCGCAACCCUUAUCUUCAGUUACUAACAGGUCAUGCUGAGGACUCUGGAGAGACUGCCGUCGUAAGAUGUGAGGAAGGUGGGGAUGACGUCAAAUCAGCACGGCCCUUACGUCCGGGGCUACACACGUGUUACAAUGGGGGGUACAGAAGGCAGCUAGCGGGUGACCGUAUGCUAAUCCCAAAAGCCUCUCUCAGUUCGGAUCGAAGUCUGCAACCCGACUUCGUGAAGCUGGAUUCGCUAGUAAUCGCGCAUCAGCCACGGCGCGGUGAAUACGUUCCCGGGCCUUGUACACACCGCCCGUCAAGCCAUGGGAGCCGGGGGUACCUGAAGUACGUAACCGCAAGGAUCGUCCUAGGGUAAAACUGGUGACUGGGGCUAAGUCGUAACAAGGUAGCCGUACCGGAAGGUGCGGCUGGAACACCUCCUUU
RNAcentral lists this ribosomal RNA (1529 nucleotides) under Bacteroides fragilis. RNAcentral's name for it is "bacterial SSU rRNA". It matches the Rfam family "Bacterial small subunit ribosomal RNA". Lineage: Bacteria; Pseudomonadati; Bacteroidota; Bacteroidia; Bacteroidales; Bacteroidaceae. The record is from RNAcentral.